GACGAACGCUGGCGGCGUGCUUAACACAUGCAAGUCGAACGGUGACGAGGAGCUUGCUCCUCUGAUCAGUGGCGAACGGGUGAGUAACACGUGAGUAACCUGCCCCAGACUCUGGGAUAACAGUUGGAAACAGCUGCUAAUACCGGAUACGAGACGGAGAGGCAUCUCUACCGUCUGGAAAGUUUUUCGGUCUGGGAUGGACUCGCGGCCUAUCAGCUUGUUGGUGAGGUAAUGGCUCACCAAGGCGACGACGGGUAGCCGGCCUGAGAGGGCGACCGGCCACACUGGGACUGAGACACGGCCCAGACUCCUACGGGAGGCAGCAGUGGGGAAUAUUGCACAAUGGGCGAAAGCCUGAUGCAGCGACGCCGCGUGAGGGAUGACGGCCUCG
RNAcentral lists this ribosomal RNA (391 nucleotides) under uncultured bacterium. RNAcentral's name for it is "bacterial SSU rRNA". It matches the Rfam family "Bacterial small subunit ribosomal RNA", at positions 28 to 419 of the family's 1533-position model. The record is from RNAcentral.